CAUGCACCGAGCAUGUUAGGAAGAGAGCAGAGAAAUUCAAAUGCGGUUUGGCCCGAAGUGGGGUAUCUGUCGCCGUUGCUUGAGUGAGGCCUUGUAAACAUCCAGUCCGUAACGUCCAGUUUGCACCCUUGGUAGGCGGAGAGAGGGGGCUCCAGUACCUGAUGAACUGGGAGGGCUAAGGCCUCCAAGAAUGCUACUGCCCCGCCCACAACAUCUUGGACCCCCUCCCUCAUCAGGGACUUCCACCGGUCCCAUGCUGACCAGCCUGGGGAUUUCGGGAGACCAGGUGGAAGAGAUAAGGGAGCGAUUGUGGUGCGACUGGCUGGUGGAUGGGAGAUGCCACACCAGCAGGCAUCGGCUGACAGUGAUGAACGAGCCGUCCGACCCUCUGAUAAUUCGUCACUCAUGGGCAGAGAGAGGUCCAUUAAUCAAAACAAGCGUGGCGGCGCCACAUUUUCUACCACCGACCUUUUUCCUCCCACCUCCUCCAGACCCCAGUUACUCCACCCUAACCUGAGGUGGGAUGACUUGUCUAGGUGGCUAGCAGCAACCGGCAGUAGCACUGAAUGGAGUUCCUGAAUGUAUUCAUGCUAAGCGGGAGGGGGAUGUAGAAGGGUAGUGCCCAUUCACCCAGGGCUUUCUAUCUAAAACUAUGUUCAGACUGCAGGUCUUAAUACUCAGUACUGUUUUUUUUUUGUUUAAGUUCAUUUUUUUUUUAAAUUCUGGUUCCAUUGGUCACAUCCGUUGCUGAAAAUGACUCAUAUCUGAUAUCCAAUAUCACUGA
Molecule: long non-coding RNA, 784 nt
Organism: Lampris incognitus (smalleye Pacific opah)
Lineage: Eukaryota; Metazoa; Chordata; Actinopteri; Lampriformes; Lampridae
Exons: 4
Source: RefSeq, a predicted model, not a curated record